This 428-nucleotide ribosomal RNA is filed under the name uncultured prokaryote. RNAcentral's name for it is "bacterial SSU rRNA". It matches the Rfam family "Bacterial small subunit ribosomal RNA", at positions 355 to 774 of the family's 1533-position model. The record is from RNAcentral.
UGGGGAAUAUUGGACAAUGGGGGGAACCCUGAUCCAGCCAUGCCGCGUGUGUGAAGAAGGCCUUAUGGUUGUAAAGCACUUUAAGCGAGGAGGAGGCUACUGUAGUUAAUACCUAUAGAUAGUGGACGUUACUCGCAGAAUAAGCACCGGCUAACUCUGUGCCAGCAGCCGCGGUAAUACAGAGGGUGCAAGCGUUAAUCGGAUUUACUGGGCGUAAAGCGUGCGUAGGCGGCUUUUUAAGUCGGAUGUGAAAUCCCCGAGCUUAACUUGGGAAUUGCAUUCGAUACUGGGAAGCUAGAGUAUGGGAGAGGAUGGUAGAAUUCCAGGGGUAGCGGUGAAAUGCGUAGAGAUCUGGAGGAAUACCGAUGGCGAAGGCAGCCAUCUGGCCUAAUACUGACGCUGAGGCACGAAAGCAUGGGGAGCAAACA